Molecule: unclassified non-coding RNA, 350 nt
Filed under: soil metagenome
Description: partial contains 5.8S ribosomal RNA, internal transcribed spacer 2, and large subunit ribosomal RNA
Rfam family: 5.8S ribosomal RNA (bases 1-120)
Source: RNAcentral
GAUGAAGAACGCAGCGAAAUGCGAUAAGUAAUGUGAAUUGCAGAAUUCAGUGAAUCAUCGAAUCUUUGAACGCACAUUGCGCCCGCCAGUAUUCUUGCGGGCAUGCCUGUUCGAGCGUCAUUUCAACCCUCAAGCCCAGCUUGGUGUUGGGGAUCGGCACAGGCGCCCUCGGGCGCCCGCCGUCCCCUAAAUCUAGUGGCGGUCCCGCUGCAGCCUCCUCUGCGUAGUAGUUUUCUCCUCGCAAGGGCAGCUCGGUGGCGACCUCGCCGUAAAACCCCCAACUUCUGAAAGGUUGACCUCGAAUCAGGUAGGAAUACCCGCUGAACUUAAGCAUAUCAAUAAGCGGAGGA